Long non-coding RNA from Leptidea sinapis, 1154 nucleotides. RefSeq lists it as uncharacterized. Lineage: Eukaryota; Metazoa; Arthropoda; Insecta; Lepidoptera; Pieridae. The record is from RefSeq and is a predicted model, not a curated record. The transcript has 6 exons.
CAUCAUUAAAAAGACACCAAAAUGACAUAGCAUCCUCUUGAAAAUUUUUGUGUUUAUUUUUGCAAUAUAUCAAUCCAAUCCAAUAGCAAAUUAUGUUUAUUAAACAGGCAUAACUUAUAUUGCGACAAAUAAAAAUAAACAAUAAUUAAAGAUGGGUCAAAUUACUGAAAAUCCGUCAUCUAUAAAAAUGAAGAAAAGUUCAUCUGGUAUAAAGAAAACUCGAUCGAAAUUAAAAGGAAAAGGUGAAUCGAUAACGCUAAGUGAUCCAAAAGUCCAGGUUGUCCUAUUGGUAGGAUUAUUAGCAGUGCUGGCCUUAGCUCUUUGGUUUGGGUUUAAGAACGGCUGCAUAGGACGUCGACGACGCAGAAGAAGAUCUUGUAGUUGCAUACACUAGAACGUACUUACUCAUGAAAUAGUUAACCCAAAAAUACGGAUAUGAUAAGGAUAUGUUUGGUAUUAAUGAAACAUAAAAUUACAUAACAGAUUCGGUCCCAUGAACGAAACACCAAGUCGCAGUUUUAUAAUCACUAAAAAGGAAAUAAGAAAAAUCCCAACGAUUCUACAAACUACGGAUAUCGAAUGAACAUACUAUUUGGGUAUUUGAGAAUCAUCGGAAGAAUCUAUCGCGCUGUUACAGUCUGCAGUAAUUACCAAUAGAAAAAGUCAUUCAUCGUAACCAAAAAAUUACUUAUAAAACUCGUGCUUCGCCCUCCAUAAUCCCAACAAAUCAAUUGCACCCGUAAACAUCAAACAAAACCCACCAUGGACGUUGUGAUCUUUUUAUGUGUAUAGAGGUUUUCGCAAGAUCAUUUGAGAGCGAGAGAGACAGUCGAGACCAUUUCCGUACACGCUAUCGUCCUGCAACGACCACGAUGAUUGUUGCCUAGCGAAACAAAUUUUUGUGGAAAGACUCCGUAGUAGUAGCAGAUAAAGUAGAAGUCGUCGGAAAAGGUGACGUGUAAGCUGUACCUGAAUUUAACUCAUCCAUGAAGGCAAAUCUCCAGAAUUACACAUUUUACACGAUAUUAGCUGUGGUUAUUAACCAAAAAUAAUAAAGACUUGUUAAAGGUCUUAGUUACCAAGUCAUAAAAUCCAAAAAAAAAAUCUUAACCUAAAACGUAAAUAUUUGUAACAGUGAAACGAAAAAGUAAAAA